Long non-coding RNA from Panthera uncia (snow leopard), 824 nucleotides. RefSeq lists it as uncharacterized. Lineage: Eukaryota; Metazoa; Chordata; Mammalia; Carnivora; Felidae. The record is from RefSeq and is a predicted model, not a curated record. The transcript has 2 exons.
CAAGAUAAGAUCCAGUUUCCUUACAUACCAGAAGUCGGCCUAAAUAGUGCCCAAUUCUCUGCAUACCAUGCCCAGAGUGGUGAAGUGUUUGAUCCUCCAAAUCUCUAAGGAUGGAAAAGCAAACUGAGAGCAACCUCAUCUGCUCUUGAGAAAGAGAAAGAAAAGACAGGAACUAGUCCAACAGUUGAACUGCACUGAAUAGUUUAAUGCUACCCUUUUAACAGCUGGAAAUUUUUCAUGGAAUGGUUCCAACCACUCCUCAACUUGGGAAAAAAUCAUUCAGGGACCUUCUGCCUUACAAGCAAUUCAUAACCCCUGGCAAAGUUGAAUCUAAAAAAUAUACAACGUGCCUAUGAGUCAUCCUUAAAAUACUUUUCUUCAAUAAGCUUCUGUAAUGGGGAAAAAUUAUCAUUCCACAUAAGCUUCUGAGACUUGUUACCACUUUGCAGAUUGAAUAACCCUUGGAGACAAGGCAAUCUACCGGCUAGACAGCCUGGAAACAGCUUCCAGACCAAUCAGCUGCUGGGAAACAGUUUUUGGCCCAAUCACCCACCUGGAAACUGUACAUGGACCACUCGCUGUCUUCUAAGAACCACUUCUCCUAAAAUCUGCCACUGCUGCCUUGCAAACCAAACCAGAGAGAGAAAAUAUACCUGAAUUAUUUCUACACUGACCUUGUGAGUCCCAGCCCAUCUGUGCCCUUUUGACAAGUGCUUCAAACUCCAUGCCCCUCAGUGGAAUUCAUUCUGUAUUGAAUAAUUUUUUGGCCAAGCCCUAUCCUUUGUGGAAAGAGGUAAGGAAUAAAUACAUUUAAUAAUAUAUCA